RNAcentral lists this ribosomal RNA (385 nucleotides) under uncultured bacterium. Its description in RNAcentral is "bacterial SSU rRNA". It matches the Rfam family "Bacterial small subunit ribosomal RNA", at positions 30 to 417 of the family's 1533-position model. The record is from RNAcentral.
AUUGAACGCUGGCGGCAUGCCUUACACAUGCAAGUCGAACGGCAGCGCGGGGCAACCUGGCGGCGAGUGGCGAACGGGUGAGUAAUAUAUCGGAACAUACCCUAGAGUGGGGAUAACGUAGCGAAAGUUACGCUAAUACCGCAUACGCACUAAGGUGGAAAGUGGGGGAUUCGCAAGAACCUCAUGCUCAUGGAGUGGCCGAUAUCUGAUUAGCUAGUUGGUGAGGUAAAGGCUCACCAAGGCGACGAUCAGUAGCUGGUUUGAGAGAACGACCAGCCACACUGGAACUGAGACACGGUCCAGACUCCUACGGAGGCAGCAGUGGGGAAUUUUGGACAAUGGGGGCAACCCUGAUCCAGCAAUGCCGCGUGAGUGAAGAAGGCCU